This 309-nucleotide long non-coding RNA is filed under the name Spirodela polyrhiza (greater duckweed). Its description in RNAcentral is "long non-coding RNA (SPOL_LNC001873)". The record is from RNAcentral. Lineage: Eukaryota; Viridiplantae; Streptophyta; Magnoliopsida; Alismatales; Araceae.
GAAUUAGCAGGAUAAUAAAAAAUAAAUUUUAUGUGAAGAAUAUUUUAAACCAUUAACUCGUGAUGUAAGGCCCAUGAAAUUGGGUUUGACUUAACAUUUUGUAAAGGUGAAAAAAUGAAAAUUUAAUCUUGAUUGUGUUACCUCCCUAUCAUAAUGAAAAAAAUGGUUUUUUAGAAAAGUACCCACUAGGCAAGCUAUUGGUACUGAAAGGCUUAUGCACAAUUUUGGAUAGAUGAUUAUAAGGAUUUUGAUGAUAUGAACAUUGAAAAUAAGAACAUCAAACACCAUUCAUCAAGAAGACAAUAUAUU